GCGCCACCACCCCCCUCCCCCCAAAAACCAAUCAUUUUCACGCAAAACUCGAGGUGUCCCCGUCCGGGCCGUGCUUCGCUGUUGCCCCACAGGCAAAGUCCCCCCACCCCAACCCGGUGUGGGACACAAAAUGCUCGGGGCCCUGGCGGGGGGGGGGGGGCGCGCCCCGAGGUCGCGAACGCGGGUCCGCUGAAGCCGCACGUCCCCGCGGGGCGGGCCCGGGAAUCUGCGCCCAGCCCGGCCGCUCGGCCGCGGGCAGCCCGCCGCGGGUUCGUGCCAGCCCCGGAGCGCGCCGGCCCGGCUCCCCGCCACCGCCCGGAUUCUCCUCAACCCCGCUCCCCCGGCCGCUCCGCGCCGGCUUCUCCUUGUGCCUGGCCCUCCCGAGCCCCGGGCCCCCAAGCUCUGGGCCCGCCCCCACUCACUGCGCGGCAGCGGCGGCGGCGGCCGGGCCGGGAGACGCCGGCGGCCGGAGAGCGGGAGCCUGAGGACAAGCGAGCCUGCGCCCAGCGGCGGAGGCGGCGGCGGCGGCGGCGGCAGUGGCGGCGGCGGCGGCAGAGCGGACGACUGAGCCCGCGCCCGGAGUUGCGGCUCCUGCCGCCCCGCGCGGGCGGCGCCUUCCCAGCAGAGCCGCGGCGCCACGAGCGCGGGCGCCCCCUACCGGCGGCGCGGGCGGGAGGUCAGAGGACCAAGAGGCCAGAGGAACUCAGCCUGGGCCGCGCGGUCAGGCUGGCUCCGCCGCAGUCCCGAAAGCCCGCCCCGAAGCCUCAGUCCCGCCCCCGAGGCUCCGCCUCUGAAACCCUGGGCCCCGCCCAGAACCCGCCUCUUCGUCCCGCCUCCGCCCGCAGUUUGGAAUCAGCCCAGCCCCCGGCGGUUUUCACUGUGUCCUCCGACCUAGGAUCCCUACAGCUGUUUCUCUUGUUUCACGAACGUGUAUGGGGCCCGGACCGUGUACAGCGGCCACCAAGACAGAAGGGUGUCCUAAUGAGAGGAGAAAACAGACAAGACCCAAGGAAACAGCCAGUAGACAAAAAAAUGACAAGUUGUGAUUCUAAGUGUUGA
Molecule: long non-coding RNA, 1059 nt
Filed under: Felis catus (domestic cat)
Lineage: Eukaryota; Metazoa; Chordata; Mammalia; Carnivora; Felidae
Description: lncRNA (ENSFCAG00000051910.1)
Source: RNAcentral